This 10499-nucleotide long non-coding RNA is filed under the name Brassica rapa (field mustard). RNAcentral describes it as "long non-coding RNA (BRAP_LNC004131)". Lineage: Eukaryota; Viridiplantae; Streptophyta; Magnoliopsida; Brassicales; Brassicaceae. The record is from RNAcentral.
CAAACCUAACUGCUGAUGAUGCGACUGUUGGCCCCGAAACAGAAACAAGCCAUGAGCAGCCUGAUGCAGCCCAACGGUUGGCUGUGAUAACAUGUGCACCGACUGCUGGUUAGUCUGGGAACUGAGCAACUGAUGUUGUGGUUGCUGCAGUCCUGCAACACUUCUUUGAGUGCCCAAUGGUUGCUGAUGAAGGCUGUUUUGUUGAGACAUCAAAUGCUGUGGCAACGGAUUUCUCCAGUCACCAGGUUCUCCUUUUGGAACGGAAGGUCUCCAAUUGUUGUUAUCCAUCACCUGUUCCUUACGACCACACACAAGACAAUCCGAUUUUAUGCCAAGAUUCAGAGCAGCUAGGCUAAUAAUGAUAGCAAGUUUGAGCCACGGAAUCACCAAUUCCAAAGAAAAUUAAAAUCAGUUGACUUCACUGAUCAGUCAAUUUUUUUCAUUUCUGUUUGCUAUUGGUAGCAAGAAAGAGACAGAGUCAACCUCAAAGUAGCAUAUCCGAGAAAACGAGUAAGCUCAAUCACACCAACAAAGUCAAAUCUAUUCUCCUAAAUAGUAUUAAGAACCGAGAACCACAAUCAAUAAAGCUUGAUGGGCUAUAUAGUAGUAUGUCUUCACGAGACUCCCGAUCCACAAGAUUUGAAAAUUUAACUUGUAUUAAACUUGUAUCAUUCGCUCCAACAUUGUCUUUAAUUGUUUCAAUCUAUUAAACUGCAGAGAUCUUUGUUGAUGCGGAAAAUAAUUCUGCUCGAGACAAAAAAAAGAAUGUUUUCAACAAGAAAGAGACGAGCACAUAGAUUGCAAGCUAAAGGAACAUAAAUAUCCGAUGUUUACUUUCUAGUGGACAGUAAAAAUACGAGCAUCUUUUGGUGCAAUGGUUUUCAAGAUGCCAAAGUUGUAUGACUUUCUUUUGCAAUAUCGAACCGGUCUUGCAUUGAAUUCAUAGGGAAUUCUCGCUCAGAUACUCUACUGAUUCGGAGGACAUACACUCUACUCUCCUAGAAAAAUAUAUCGCAACUUACUUGCUGCAACUUGGCUGCAACUCUCUGUUUGACUUCUUUUAGAUCUGAUAAGUACGUAUCUCUCAAAGUUUUGAUCUGCAAAGACAAGCACAAAGAUCACACGGUUACUCAUUACGAUGAUAACAAAAUAAGAUCACCUGCCGUGCUGCAUUUAUCUCUUUUAGAUUUAAUAAACGUAGACAGAAUAGGUAUAUAGAUAGCAAACUUAUUUAAUCUCCCCCAAACACUUAUGAGUACUGACGGCAAGACUAAGAGGCCUGAAGCAUUACCCAAACUAGUAAGAAAAACUACCUUUUGGUAAACCUCCUCUUGCCAAUCAACAGCAUUUCCACUUUCCGUCUGUGCCAUGGAGUUUAACAAUGCUACAAUUUAUAAAAAUGGGGUUUGUUCAGCAUCAGAUCCAGCUGAGGGAUUAACUUAUGUAAAGUAUUCACAAGGAUGUAAACGCAUACACACAGGAUGGAAUCUCUGGAAGGGUUUGUCUCUGUUGGUCCACUACAUUUUGAGGUGGAAGCAGGGAACCUGUGAAUUGGCCUGAAGAUUGUAGCCUUUGUAGCAGAUUAGGUUGUUGUAACUGCUGAUGAUGCGACUGAAGGGGCAUCAUCAGCUGCUGCUGGGAUGGCUGAUUUUGUGACUGUUGGCCUUGAGAAGAAAACACAACAUGAGAUGAUUGUUGGGGAAGCUCCCCUUGCUGAACUGGAUUCCUCGGCCUUAGCAUAUUUACCAAAUCUAUAGUCUGCUUCUCAUAGAUAGCCACCUUAUCCCUUAAUGCAGGUAUGACAUCUCUCUUUGACACCGAUAGGAAUAGUAUCAUUCGCUCCACCGCUGCCUUGAACUGUUUCAAUUUCUCAAACUGCUCUGAUCUUCGUUGCCGCGGAAGAGAACCCAUCUGGGGAGAAAAAAGGAAUGUGCUCAAUAGGAAAAGAGACAAGCACAUAGAUGCAAGCUACAACCUUUGUCAGUUUGGGAAGGAAAAUAAAUAUCCGACAAUUACUUUCCACCGGACAGUAAAAAUACCAAAUUUGUAUGACUUUCUUUUGCAAUAUCGAAUUGGUCUUGCAUAGAAACUCUCGCAGGUACUACUGUUCUGGAGGACAUACACACUACUCUCUUAGAAAAAAAACUUACUUGCUGCACCCUGGAUGCAGCUCUCUGAUAGAUUACGGCAAGAUCAGGUAAGUACGCUUCUUGUAUAGUUUUGAUCUGCAAAGACAAAGCACCAUGGACACACACGAUUACUCAUUACAAUGAUAUUUAUGUAAGAUCGCCUGUCGUGUUGCAUAUAUAUACAGCAAACUUAGUUGACAGCAAGACUAAGAAGCCGGAAGCAUUAUCCAAAUUAGAAAAAAAGAAAACUACCUUUUGGAAAACCUCCUCUUGCCAAUCAACCGCAUUUCCACUUUCCGUCUGUGCCGUGGAGUCUAGCGAUGUUACAAUUAAUUAAAAAAAAAAGGUUUUGUUGAGCAUCAGAUCCUAAAGUAUUCACAAGGAUGUAAAGGCAUACAUGAUGGAAUCUCCGGAAGGGUUCUUUGGGAUUGAUACAGUUGUUGUCUCUGUUGGUCUCCUGAAGGCCUCCAAUUGUUGUUAUCCAUCUAACUGUUCCCUACGGUUACAAAAAUCUACAGAAAACAAACGACCACACACAGAGAUGAAUUAUAUUGACAAGAAUCAGAGCAGCCAAAGGCUAAUCCUAACAAGUUUGAGACACGGAAUCACCAACCAACCCUAAUAGAGAAUCAAAACCAAAUUUUUCAUUUUUGUUUACUCUUGUUAACAAAAAGCGACAGACUCAAAACCUCAAAGUAGCAUAUCGUAAAACGAGUAAGCAUACUGUGUCAAUCAUACCAAAAAAAAAAGUUAAUCUAUUAUCCUAAAUAGUAUGAGAACCAAGAACCACAAUCUGUAAAGCGCGAUAGCUAGAUAAUAUGUCUUCUCGAGACUUCUAAUCACAAGAGAAAACGAGAUUCGAAAAUUUCACCUCGAGGCGACUUCACGGUUUGUUACAAAGGAGUAGGAUUGAUCGGGAUGAAGAAGUAAAGGAUGACCAAGUUUUCAAUGUCGUCGCGCAGCUUUUAAAUUACCAAAAAACCCCUACAAUUAAUGAUAAAUUACUGUAUAAUAUUGUCAAGUGUCAACUACAAGUUCACUAAACCCCAAAUUUAAUUGACCCGCCAAUAUAUUGUUUUCAUUCAUAAAAUUAUGCAAACUGAGAUACAUUGGAUGCGUUGAUGGAAUACAAAGCUGGCAUGUGCUUUAAAACUUUCAAUUGAUGUUUUGAUGUUGGAGAAACCAGAAAUCAUCCCAAUUCCCAAUGGCAUACACUCGACCAUGUAUGUUUAUUCAUGCCUUUUCUUGUUUUUUUUUUUUUAACUCUUCAAGGUGUGUUCUUUAUAUACAAAUAUAAAGUAUAUGUAUAUGGACUUGCUUUCCUUAGGAUGUUUUACGCCGUUUUGAAAACUCCUCUUGUUUGAUUUCGCUUCCCUCUUCCAUACUCUGCAUCCUUGAGGAUAUUUUGCUCAGGUAAUUGAUAGGCUCAAGAGGGUUUACUAUCGUAAGAAGAAGGGAAAAGAAGCAACAGAAGAAGGGUGUUGAUUAGUAAAGGAGCGUGAGCAAUAAGGAAGAAGUGGGAAACCUUCUAUUUCGAGUAGAGUGUUUGCAGUUACAACGGUUAGUUGAGCUGAGAGCUAGUAUAAAUAAGAGUCUGUAACUCGUAGAGAGGUAUGCUUUUUGUUGUAGUUUGUUAUGGACGUUAUGAGUCUGUACUUCUCAAUCGAGAUGAGAUUGAGGAUCUAGAGUGAAACUCGCCAUGAGAGUGUAGCUCGAGAUCACACAACAAAGCUAGCUAUCUUGUACUUCGUUAUUCAAUACAGAAGAGUAUUAUUCAGUUACAUAGAUCGAAAGUCUAUCACUGGUGCGGCGAAACUGGUCGAGAUCACGAGAUCAGAGCGCGAUGGUGGAGACGAGGAACGGCAGUGAUCGCGAGAAGGCGAUAGUUGCAGAACCAACGAAAACGAUGGAUCUCCAGCGGAUUCAAGACGAUAUGGAUUUGAUGAAGCUCCGUUACGAUACGAUGGCUCGAAGCGAUCGAUCGACGACGACGAGGCUAGAUUCGAUGACGACGAAGGUUGAUUCCGUGGAAAAGAAGAUUGAAGCGAUAGGCGUUGAAUCCACAGCAAGAUUCGAGACUUUGGAGAAGAAGAUGACUGAUAUCGCCAAUCUACUGACGCGAUUAGAAGAUACAGCAGUCUUCAACCAACGUCCGGGGAAAGAGAUUGCCUCUCCGUCGCAUACUCGCGUCGAUCAGGUACCGAUCACGAUCUCUGAACCGGGAACAUCUCCAACUCCGUUAGGUUAUCGGGGAAUACAAGGAACUCUUGCGAAUCGUGAUAAAUUGUUGAGGAAAAUUGAAAUGCCUGUAUUCUCUGGUCCAUUGCCGUUCGAUUGGAUUUCUCGAGUUGAGAGAUUUUUCAGGUACGGGAACUACAAUGAAGAGGAGAAGUUGUAUUUGGUAUCAUUGAGUUUAGAAGGUCCAGUGUUGCAGUGGUUUAAUGGUGAGAUUAUCAGUGAUCCGUUUGCGAAUUGGGGAGAGUUUACAAGGAGGAUGUUAGACAGAUUUGGGGGUCCAAUCGAUAAUGAUCCAGCGGCAAGGUUGUUCUGUUUACAGCAAGAAGGAGACAUUGUUGAUUACGUCAAUGAAUUUGAGGCUUUGAGGAAUCAAGUGACAGGGAUCGAUGAAAGGAACUUGAUUAAGGUGUUCUUCAACGGGUUGAAAUCAGAAAUGAAAGAGGUGAUCCGCAUGAAGGAACCAGUAACUUUGACAGAUCACAAACUGGCGGUAUUAAAGAUGCAGAGCACAGCUUUCUGUAAAGUGGUUAGUGUUGCGUCUGGGGGUGAAGGACAAAAAGGUUCUCAACGUCAUUUCAGCAAUGCUCGUUCUGGCAACUAUGUCAAUAAACCAUCAGGGGAGAAUGUGAAAAGCAUUACAGGAGAUAAGAAAGAGAACAUUCCUCCUCAACGUGCCAACACAAGACCAAGAUUACAAUUUUCGGAUGCGGAACUCGAUCGCAUGAGAAAGGACAAGGUCUGCUUUAGAUGUCAAGCACCUUGGACUCCAGCUCACAGGAUGGAGUGUCCGAAUCGCCAAUUACGAGUGUUAACGGUGAUCAAUGGAUUGGAGCUUGAGGUUAUUGACACAAAUGAAGAAGAAGAGCUACUACAUAAACAAGACCAACAAGUUCUCCAUACAUUGUCGCUUAAUUCGUAUUUGGGCAUUGAAUCCCCAAAGACAACUAAGAUGCGGGGAUACAUAUGCAAUCAAGAGGUGAUAGUCAUGCUCGAUAGCGGAGCAUCCCACAACUUCAUCUCACCCGAAGUUGUGGCCAAGCUGCGAUUGAAAGUUUCUGCAGAUAACAGCUUGAACGUGUUGUUGGGUAACGGGGUGACUGUGAACGCUGUGGGAACUUGCCAAGCAGUCACUUUCCAGUUAAACAAAACCAACUUCAUAAGUGACUUCAUCUCUCUAGAACUGGGAAACGUCGAUGUGAUACUCGGUAUUCAGUGGCUUGAAACCUUAGGCAAGUGCGAAGUGGACUGGAAGGAGCAGGUCCUUUCCUUUGUCUAUAACGGGAACAAGGUGACUUUGUUUGGGGAGAAGACCCUGCAUUGCACCAAGUUCUCCUUCAAGUCAUUGAAACCAGUCUUUAGAACUAGCAAGUCAGGAAGAGAAGUGCUGCUUGCUACUUCUACUGCUACAUCGUCGACUCCAGAUAUUUCACCAAAGUUCUCACUGCUACUCCAAGAAUUUGAAGACGUUUUUGCGAUUCCAACUUCAUUACCUCCACUCAGAGGAAGUGAACACGCAAUUACACUAAAACCCGGAGUUAAUGCAGUAUCUGUUCGACCUUAUAGGUACCCACAUGCCAGCAAAGUGGCCAUGGAACAGAUGGUGAACGAUAUGCUAGUGUCGGGUAUCAUACGCCCAAGCACUAGCCCCUUCUCUAGCCCGGUGUUACUUGUCAAAAAGAAGGACGGUUCUCUUCGCUUUUGCGUUGAUUACAGGUCACUCAACAGAGCUACAGUGCUGGACAAGUACCCAAUACCGGUUAUUGAUCAACUUUUGGAUGAACUUCAUGGAGCCUCUGUGUUUUCGAAACUGGACCUCCGUUCCGGUUAUCAUCAGAUCAGAAUGAUGGAAGAAGACAUCCCUAAAACCGCGUUCAGAACAGUGGAAGGUCACUACGAGUUCUUAGUAAUGCCGUUUGGCUUAACUAACGCACCGGCGACUUUCCAAGCACUGAUGAACAAAGUUUUUAAACCCUUUCUCCGUAAAUUUGUACUGGUGUUCUUUGAUGAUAUUCUGAUCUACAGUAAGGAUCAUCAGUCUCACGAACAACAUUUGCGGUUAGUGUUACAAGCUUUGCGGGACCAGAAGUUGUUUGCCAACCAGAAGAAAUGUUCUUUCGGUGUGUCUUCUGUGGAGUAUUUGGGUCACAUGAUUUCGGUGGAGGGUGUAGCGACAGAUUCUGCUAAGAUCAGUGCAAUGCAGGAAUGGCCAGAACCGAAGACAGUGAAACAACUGCGUGGAUUUUUGGGCUUGACAGGGUACUAUCGGAAGUUCAUCAGAGACUAUGGCAGCAUUGGUCGACCACUGACGGUUUUAUUAAAGAAUGAUCAGUUUUGCUGGUCACAGUUAGCACAAGAAGCGUUUGAUAGAUUGAAGUAUGCAAUGGUUCAUGCACCGGUGUUGGCUUUACCGGAUUUUGAAAAGACAUUUGUUAUUGAGUCAGAUGCAUCAGGAUUUGGGUUGGGAGCAGUAUUGAUGCAAGAUAAAAGGCCUAUAGCGUUUUUCAGCCAUGCUUUGACGCCACGAGAACAGCUAAAACCAGCUUAUGAGAGGGAGCUCAUGGCCAUUGUUAUGGCUAUACGUAAAUGGAAGCAUUAUCUUUUGGGCAGAAAAUUUCAGGUGCAUACAGAUCAAAGAAGUCUCAAGUUUUUGUUGGAACAGAAGGAGGUGAAUUUGGAGUAUCAAAAAUGGUUAACAAAGAUUUUGGGAUUUGAUUUUGAGAUAUUCUACAAACCUGGAUUGGAGAACAAGGCAGCUGAUGGGUUGUCAAGGUCAAUGUCAAUUUCUACAUUGCUAUUGUCUCUAACGGUUCCAACGGCUUUACAAUGGGAAGAUCUAUUCAAGGAGAUUAGGGAGAAUAAGGCGUUACAAGAGACUAUUAAGAAGAUUCAAACGGGUGAUUUAAAGUCUAAGAAGUACCAAGUGAUUGAGGGAAGGCUGUGGUCGAAGCGUCGCUUGGUUAUUCCGAGAUCUUCACAUUUCAUUCCGGUGAUUCUAAAGGAGGCACAUGACAGCAAAGUGGGUGGUCAUUCGGGAGUGUUAAAAACGGUUAAACGGGUGCAGUGCUCAUUUUUUUGGAAGGGAAUGUUCAAGCAGAUUCAGGAGUAUGUGGCUUCUUGUAGCGUGUGUCAGACGCAUAAACAUUCUACACUUUCACCUGCAGGGUUACUUCAGCCUCUACCUAUUCCGGAUCGUGUGUGGGAAGACAUUAAUAUGGAUUUCAUUGAAGGACUUCCAACAUCGAAUGGCUUCAAUGUGAUCUUAGUGGUGAUUGAUCGUUUGAGUAAGUUCGCACAUUUCGUGAGUCUGAAACACCCUUUUACAGCGCUGGAUGUGGCAAAGAAGUUUGUCUCUGAGAUUGUUCGCUUGCACGGAUUUCCGAAGAGCAUCGUCUCUGACAGAGAUAGAAUUUUCUUGAGUUCAUUUUGGACUGAAGUAUUUCGUUUAGCAGGAACUACAUUGAAGUAUAGUACGGCUUUUCAUCCACAAACAGAUGGUCAGUCCGAAGUCUUAAACCGAUGUUUGGAGACAUAUUUGAGGUGCUUCAGUUCUUCUCAUCCGAGGUCCUGGCAUGCUUAUUUGGCGUGGGCAGAGUUGUGGUAUAAUACCACAUACCACAAGUCACUGCAAACGACUCCGUUCAAAGUACUUUAUGGCAGAGAUCCUCCUCCUUUGUUACGUUUUGAACCUGGUUCUACGGCUAACUUCGAGCUGGAUGUUGCGUUACGUGAACGUGAUGAGAUGUUGGAUGAUCUGAAGCAGAAUCUUUUGCGGGCACAGGAGAUUAUGAAGCAGCAGGCUGAUAAGUCACGGAGGGAUGUAGAGUUCAAGGAGGGCGAUAUGGUUUACUUGAAGCUGCAGCCUUACAGACAGAAAACAGUAGCACGACGUUUUUGUCAAAAACUGGCUGCCAAAUAUUAUGGACCAUAUAAGAUCAUUGCGAGAGUUGGGAUGACAGCUUAUAAGCUACUCUUACCAGACAAGGCUCGUGUCCAUCCUGUAUUUCAUAUCUCUCAGUUAAAAUUGGCGUUGGGUUCGCAGGAGCAGAGUACCGCGUUACCUCCGGGAGCCAUUGUUACAGCAGAAGAAACUUUGGAACCUGGAGAGGUAUUGGACAAGCGUUAUGGGACGAAGGGAGAGUUGGAACUGCUGGUUCAUUGGAGUGGGAAGUCGUCUCUUGAAGAUUCAUGGAUGUCGUUGGAGGAGUUUCGUGGGUGUUUUCCUUCGUACCAGCUUGAGGGCAAGCUGGAUUUCGUUGGGGGAAGUAUUGAUAGGCUCAAGAGGGUUUACUAUCGUAAGAAGAAGGGAAAAGAAGCAACAGAAGAAGGGUGUUGAUUAGUAAAGGAGCGUGAGCAAUAAGGAAGAAGUGGGAAACCUUCUAUUUCGAGUAGAGUGUUUGCAGUUACAACGGUUAGUUGAGCUGAGAGCUAGUAUAAAUAAGAGUCUGUAACUCGUAGAGAGGUAUGCUUUUUGUUGUAGUUUGUUAUGGACGUUAUGAGUCUGUACUUCUCAAUCGAGAUGAGAUUGAGGAUCUAGAGUGAAACUCGCCAUGAGAGUGUAGCUCGAGAUCACACAACAAAGCUAGCUAUCUUGUACUUCGUUAUUCAAUACAGAAGAGUAUUAUUCAGUUACAUAGAUCGAAAGUCUAUCAGUAAUCCACCUGAAACUCGAAAUGAACACACAACAUCAAGAACGAAAUAAGGGGUGGAUGAUAUCAAGGAUGAAUGAACACGUUGAGGUUAAUAAAGAAAAAUAAAAAGUGAAACCUGACUUGUCGCGGUGUUGAAAAUUAACUCCUCGAAGCUGACAGCAACUCUCAUGAGCUCUUCGAUUCCUUCUUUCCCAGAAUAUGGAAUAUGUUUCUUCAGUGUUUCCAAUCUACUCAAAUGACAAAAGUAACUUGUCUAUCUAUAAGCAUAUUCAUAGGGUCAAAGCAAUACAACAAAACUUUGUGAAACAUUCUACUUCUACAGAAUUUUGAUCAUUAAAUUGACUUAGGAAUGACAAAAGAGUAGCAAGAGUGAGAAAAUAUGACAAAUUUGGAAGAGGGACAAAACUCACAGUGUGUUGACAUUCUUCUGGCGUGAACCUGGUGGAUGUUGAGUUCUCCAGUCACCUCUGUUUAUGCCAAGAUUACCUAUGUGGACAAAGCAAAGUGUUUGCAUUAAAUUCAUAGAAAUUCUCCCAGCUACUAGUGUUUCGGAGGACAUACACACACUACUCUCUUAGAGAAAAAAAACAUCGUAACGUACUUUCUCCAACUUGGCUGAAGCUCUCUGGUAGAUUUCGUGAAGUUCUGCUAAGUACUUUUCGUUUAUAGUUCUGAUCUGCAAAGACAAAGCACCAUGUGGUCACACGGUUAUUCAUUGCAGUGAUAAUCUUUGUCUUAUUGCAUCUAUCUCUUGACACUUUAAUAAGCGUAGACAGAAUUAGUACUAUAUAUAGCGAACUGAUUUUAUCUCCCAGAAUUCAUCAAGAGUAAGAGGACACUACAGAAGCAUUAACUAGAAAGAAACAACUACCUUUUGGUAAACCUCCUCUUGCCAAUCAACACCAUUUGCACUUUCCAUCUGAUGCUCAGCAUCAGAUCCUGCUGAGGUGGGAUUAUGUAAAGUAUGAGAAACUAAAGUAUUCACAAGGAUGUAGAAAAAGCAUACAUGAUGGAAUCUCCGGAAGGGUUCUUUGGGAUUGAUAUAGUUGGUCCACUACUUUUUGAGGUGGAAGCAGAGAACCUGUGACUUGACCUGAAGAUUGUAGCCUCUGUUGCACAUCCUGUUGUAGCAGAUUAGGUUGUUGUUGCAAACCUAACUGCUGAUGAUGCGACAGUUGGCCCUGAAACAGAAACAAGCCAUGAGUAGUAGCCUGAUGCAGCCCAACGGUUGGCUGUGAUAACAUGUGCACCGACUGCUGGUUAGUCUGGGAACUGAGCAACUGACGUUGUGGUUGCUGCAGUCCUGCAACACUUCUUUGAGUGCCCAAUGGUUGCUCAUGAAGGCUGCUUUGUUGAGACAUCAAAUGCUGUGGCAACUGAUAUCUCCAGUCACCAGGUUCUCCUUUUGGAACGGAAGGUCUCCAAUUGUUGUUAUCCAUCAACUGUUCCUUCCUACGUACACAAACCUUGAAGAGAAAAUAAC